This 465-nucleotide ribosomal RNA is filed under the name Vreelandella stevensii. RNAcentral describes it as "partial 16S ribosomal RNA". It matches the Rfam family "Bacterial small subunit ribosomal RNA", at positions 338 to 795 of the family's 1533-position model. The record is from RNAcentral. Lineage: Bacteria; Pseudomonadati; Pseudomonadota; Gammaproteobacteria; Oceanospirillales; Halomonadaceae.
CCUACGGGGGGCUGCAGUGGGGAAUAUUGGACAAUGGGGGCAACCCUGAUCCAGCCAUGCCGCGUGUGUGAAGAAGGCCCUCGGGUUGUAAAGCACUUUCAGUGAGGAAGAACGCCUGGUGGUUAAUACCCAUCAGGAAAGACAUCACUCACAGAAGAAGCACCGGCUAACUCCGUGCCAGCAGCCGCGGUAAUACGGAGGGUGCGAGCGUUAAUCGGAAUUACUGGGCGUAAAGCGCGCGUAGGUGGCUUGAUAAGCCGGUUGUGAAAGCCCCGGGCUCAACCUGGGAACGGCAUCCGGAACUGUGAAGCUAGAGUGCAGGAGAGGAAGGUAGAAUUCCCGGUGUAGCGGUGAAAUGCGUAGAGAUCGGGAGGAAUACCAGUGGCGAAGGCGGCCUUCUGGACUGACACUGACACUGAGGUGCGAAAGCGUGGGUAGCACACAGGAUUAGAGACCCUUGUAGUC